This 918-nucleotide ribosomal RNA is filed under the name uncultured bacterium. RNAcentral's name for it is "bacterial SSU rRNA". It matches the Rfam family "Bacterial small subunit ribosomal RNA", at positions 1 to 916 of the family's 1533-position model. The record is from RNAcentral.
CCUUAGAGUUUGAUCCUGGCUCAGGAUGAACGCUAGCUACAGGCUUAACACAUGCAAGUCGAGGGGCAGCAUGUCGGUUGCUUGCAACCGAUGAUGGCGACCGGCGCACGGGUGAGUAACGCGUAUCCAACCUACCCUUGUCCAUCGGAUAACCCGUCGAAAGGCGGCCUAACACGAUAUGCGGUUCACAGCAGGCAUCUAACGUGAACGAAAUGUGAAGGAGAAGGAUGGGGAUGCGUCUGAUUAGCUUGUUGGCGGGGUAACGGCCCACCAAGGCUACGAUCAGUAGGGGUUCUGAGAGGAAGGUCCCCCACAUUGGAACUGAGACACGGUCCAAACUCCUACGGGAGGCAGCAGUGAGGAAUAUUGGUCAAUGGACGAGAGUCUGAACCAGCCAAGUAGCGUGCAGGAUGACGGCCCUAUGGGUUGUAAACUGCUUUUAUAGGGGGAUAAAGUGUGCCACGUGUGGCAUAUUGCAGGUACCCUAUGAAUAAGGACCGGCUAAUUCCGUGCCAGCAGCCGCGGUAAUACGGAAGGUCCAGGCGUUAUCCGGAUUUAUUGGGUUUAAAGGGAGCGUAGGCCGUUUGGUAAGCGUGUUGUGAAAUGUCGGGGCUCAACCUGGGCAUUGCAGCGCGAACUGCCAGACUUGAGUGCGCAGGAAGUAGGCGGAAUUCGUCGUGUAGCGGUGAAAUGCUUAGAUAUCACGAAGAACUCCGAUUGCGAAGGCAGCUCACGGGAGCGCAACUGACGCUGAAGCUCGAAAGUGCGGGUAUCGAACAGGAUUAGAUACCCUGGUAGUCCGCACGGUAAACGAUGGAUGCCCGCUGUUGGCUUGAAUUAGUCAGCGGCCAAGCGAAAGCAUUAAGCAUCCCACCUGGGGAGUACGCCGGCAACGGUGAAACUCAAAGGAAUUGACGG